AUGGUGAACUGUAACAGUCGUCCUAAAGUGAGCGUCCUGCCGCCGUCCAGUGAAGAGAUUUCCACAAAGCAAACAGCAACACUGAUGUGUGUGGCCAACAAGGGCUUCCCCUCAGACUGGAGUCUGAACUGGAAGGUGGACGGGAUCAGCAGCAGGUCUCAGUACAGCAGUGUUGCUCUCCUGGAGAAGGACGGUCUGUACAGCUGGAGCAGCAGUCUGACUCUCUCUGAGCAGGAGUGGAGCUCAGUGAUCUCAGUCAGCUGUGAGCUCACACAGAAAGACCAGCGUGAUAAAGUCACUGGAGAAUUGAGGAGAGAUCAGUGUUCACAGUAG
This is a non-coding RNA of Misgurnus anguillicaudatus (oriental weatherfish), 333 nucleotides long. The record is from the annotation of a RefSeq genome assembly. NCBI's taxonomy places the organism in Eukaryota, Metazoa, Chordata, Actinopteri, Cypriniformes, Cobitidae.